UACCAGACUCCUACGGGAGGCAGCAGUGGGGAAUAUUGCACAAUGGGGGAAACCCUGAUGCAGCAACGCCGCGUGAGUGAAGAAGUAUUUCGGUAUGUAAAGCUCUAUCAGCAGGGAAGAAGAUGACGGUACCUGACCAAGAAGCCCCGGCUAACUACGUGCCAGCAGCCGCGGUAAUACGUAGGGGGCAAGCGUUAUCCGGAUUUACUGGGUGUAAAGGGAGCGCAGACGGCAGUGCAAGUCUGGAGUGAAAGCCCGGGGCCCAACCCCGGAACUGCUCUGGAAACUGUGCGGCCAGAGUACUGGAGGGGCAGGCGGAAUUCCUAGUGUAGCGGUGAAAUGCGUAGAUAUUAGGAGGAACACCAGUGGCGAAGACGGCCUGCUGGACAGUAACUGACGUUGAGGCUCGAAAGCGUGGGGAGCAAACAGGAUUAGAUACCCGCGUA
This 446-nucleotide ribosomal RNA is filed under the name uncultured bacterium. RNAcentral's name for it is "bacterial SSU rRNA". It matches the Rfam family "Bacterial small subunit ribosomal RNA", at positions 329 to 792 of the family's 1533-position model. The record is from RNAcentral.